This 439-nucleotide long non-coding RNA is filed under the name Olea europaea subsp. europaea. The record is from RNAcentral. Lineage: Eukaryota; Viridiplantae; Streptophyta; Magnoliopsida; Lamiales; Oleaceae.
CAAAUUCACACAAUGACUCCUUCCUUUUCUUGUUCUUCACACCCUCAAUUAUAAUUUACUUUCUUGUUCUUGUUGACGAUCUUCUUGUGAUUGACAACAAUCCCGAACCUGUUAUAUCAAUUAAAUUCACUGAUUCUCCCUCCCUCCGCUUCUCAAUAAAAAAAAACAUGGGCUUUCUUCACUGCUUUCAUGGGAUUGAGGUUAUUCGUACUCGUAACUUAUUUCUCAAUCAGCAUAAAUACACUCAUGAUCUUCUCUCCCACAUUAACAUGUCAAGUGCCAAGCAGUGCUCAAAUCUUAUGUCUAGGACCACCUCCCUCACUCUACAUGAUGAAUCCGAGCUUCCAGUCGAGGGACCCGAUUCAUCUAGCCACCGGCUCAAAGGAUAAAGCUAAUCACGAUGGAGUCCUAGCUGGUUGUGAUUCAAUUUUUGUUGUCA